MicroRNA precursor from Lepisosteus oculatus (spotted gar), 107 nucleotides. Ensembl annotates it as microRNA let-7c. Its record names the gene mirlet7c-1. NCBI's taxonomy places the organism in Eukaryota, Metazoa, Chordata, Actinopteri, Semionotiformes, Lepisosteidae. The record is from Ensembl.
AAACUGUGUGCAUCCGAGUUGAGGUAGUAGGUUGUAUGGUUUAGAAUUACAUCGUGGGAGUUAACUAUACAACCUUCUAGCUUUCCUUGGAGUACACUCAAGCCAUC